Molecule: long non-coding RNA, 612 nt
Organism: Contarinia nasturtii (swede midge)
Lineage: Eukaryota; Metazoa; Arthropoda; Insecta; Diptera; Cecidomyiidae
Exons: 4
Source: RefSeq, a predicted model, not a curated record
UUCGUUUCAAAUUGUAUGAUAGAUGGAAAUCCGGUGAUAAAUUCGGAUCCAAAACAUUUCUAUUCAUUUAUAGUUCAAAAAUGAUGCAACUGAAAUUGAACCCGUCGGCUUUGAAUUGAACACAACUUACCUUAAAGGACAUUACAAUAUUUCUCAGCUCAGAGUGACCAGAGUCAAUCGCACUACUUAUUCCGUUCAAUUUAAUGUUGACAUAUUUUGCGAUAUGGACGAGGAUCAUGAAAUUGAAGUAACAUUUCACUAUAAUCGCUUGAAUAAUAAUCAGUACACUCGAAUGCCAUUCGUCAUACCAAGAGCAUCUGCGUAUUACUAUCUCGACGUCUACUAUAAGAAAUAUAUGAUGAACCGUGUUGAAGGUAUCUCCAAUCUUCCUCAAUAUAUGGAAGACGAACGAGUAUGCCCAUUAAAAAAGGGAUUGUACUGGUUAAAGAAUUUCACAAUUAAUGGGAAACUCCCAGACGGACACUGGAUGGCGGUGAUAUAUAUUUAUUACAAAAAAGAGGUCGUUUGUUUCGUCAGAAUUUGGUCUGCAAUAUUAAGAGCAAGUAAUUUUUUGAGGUCCAAACAUCAUUAUUUCAUUCACUGUUAGAUUGG